This 68-nucleotide transfer RNA is filed under the name Pamphorichthys hollandi. Its description in RNAcentral is "tRNA-Met". Lineage: Eukaryota; Metazoa; Chordata; Actinopteri; Cyprinodontiformes; Poeciliidae. The record is from RNAcentral.
AGUAAAGUUAGCUAAAAAGCUUUCAGGCCCAUACCCUGAACAUGACGGUUAAAAUCCUUCCUUUACCA